ACACACGUUUUCAUUUCUAUACGAGGGAGAGCAUGAAGAGAAAGUGAAAGAUAGGCAAACUGCCAAGAUUACUUAAAAGCUCAAAAUCUGAACUGCGGUGGAAAAGCAGUCCUCUAAAAAUUCAGUUGUCCUAAAGAUCUCUGAACCUGAAGAAUAUGCCAUUGUGCCAAGCCACUGACAAGCAGUGCCCAAGCGUACAGACGAAAAGUUAAGGGGCAAGAAAAGAAAGUCAAGAAGUUAAUACAGAGAAGAGAGCAGGAAAAAAGAGGAAAAAGAUGGAAAAAUUCAGAGAGGAACGAAGAAGGACAGAGAGGAUCUACAAAAGGGUGUUCCACAUUAGAAAAAAAUGGAUUCUCUGUGUAUAUCCCAAUACAAAAGUUGGACAAACACACAAAGGCAAACAUCU
This is a long non-coding RNA of Manis pentadactyla (Chinese pangolin), 406 nucleotides long. RefSeq lists it as uncharacterized. The transcript is spliced from 2 exons. Lineage: Eukaryota; Metazoa; Chordata; Mammalia; Pholidota; Manidae. The record is from RefSeq and is a predicted model, not a curated record.